This 224-nucleotide unclassified non-coding RNA is filed under the name fungal sp. RNAcentral describes it as "partial internal transcribed spacer region". The stretch from base 1 to 46 matches the Rfam family "Eukaryotic small subunit ribosomal RNA", at positions 1786 to 1831 of the family's 1831-position model. The record is from RNAcentral. Lineage: Eukaryota; Fungi.
AAGUCGUAACAAGGUUGCCGUAGGUGAACCUGCGGCAGGAUCAUUAACGAUUUAAAAAAAAAAAACUGUCCUUUUUGUUGGGCUGCUUCUCGAAGGAGAAAAUUUUUUUUUCUCCGUUUCGAGCGAGCUAAAAACAGUAAAUGGUUUCCAAAACUAAAUCGACCUAUCUUUAUAAGGGUCGCAUUUAAACAAAAACUUGCCGAUCGGUGGAUCACUCGGCUGGU